AUUGAACGCUGGCGGCAGGCUUAACACAUGCAAGUCGAGCGGGGGAAGGUAGCUUGCUACCGGACCUAGCGGCGGACGGGUGAGUAAUGCUUAGGAAUCUGCCUAUUAGUGGGGGACAACAUCUCGAAAGGGAUGCUAAUACCGCAUACGUCCUACGGGAGAAAGCAGGGGAUCUUCGGACCUUGCGCUAAUAGAUGAGCCUAAGUCGGAUUGGCUAGUUGGUGGGGUAAAGGCCUACCAAGGCGACGAUCUGUAGCGGGUCUGAGAGGAUGAUCCGCCAAACUGGGACUGCGAAACGGCCCAGACUCCUACGGGAGGCAGCAGUGGGGAAUAUUGGACAAUGGGGGGAACCCUGGUCCAGCCAUGCCGCGUGUGUGAAGAAGGCCUUAUGGUUGUAAAGCACUUUAAGCGAGGAGGAGGCUACUUUAGUUAAUACCUAGAGAUAGUGGACGUUACUCGCAGAAUAAGCACCGGCUAACUCUGUGCCAGCAGCCGCGGUAA
Molecule: ribosomal RNA, 501 nt
Filed under: uncultured bacterium
Lineage: Bacteria
Description: partial 16S ribosomal RNA
Rfam family: Bacterial small subunit ribosomal RNA
Source: RNAcentral